This 740-nucleotide long non-coding RNA is filed under the name Rattus norvegicus (Norway rat). RNAcentral's name for it is "long non-coding RNA NONRATT000503". Lineage: Eukaryota; Metazoa; Chordata; Mammalia; Rodentia; Muridae. The record is from RNAcentral.
CCUUCAUGGACUGGAUCCCUGGUCCCCACCACCGAAUCUUCAAAAAUUUCCAAGAGCUUCGGCUCUUCAUCUCUGAGCAAAUUCAGUGGCACCGGCAGUCACGACAGACUGGGGAGCCCCGUGACUUCAUUGAUUGUUUCCUCGAACAAAUGGAUAAGGUACCAGUCCCUGCCGCCCUUAAUGGUACCCACCCUGUCAACCAGCAGGCAUCAGACCACCUGUCUGUCCCCAGGAACAUCAGGACCCGGAAAGCCAUUUCCAGGAUGAGACACUGGUGAUGACUACUCACAAUCUUUUCUUUGGUGGCACGGAGACCACAAGCACCACUCUGCGUUAUGGGCUCCUCAUUAUGCUCAAGUACCCUGAGGUGGCAGGUUUGAGAACUGGGUACACCCCUCCCCUCCCCUCACCCUAAGUGAAGAGAGAGUGGCUGGGGUGGGAUCUCAGUAAAGCACAACCCACAGCCUCCAAUGACCUCAGCCAAGGUGCAAGAGGAGCUGGACGCCACUGUAGGCCGGACCCGUGCCCCUAGCCUAGCAGACCGUGCCCACCUGCCCUACACCAAUGCGGUGCUGCAUGAGAUCCAGCGCUUCAUCAGCGUGCUACCACUGGGACUGCCUCGGGCCCUCAUCCGAGACGUAAACCUCAGGAACCAUUUCCUGCACAAGGGCACCUUCGUCAUUCCCUUGCUUGUGUCUGCACAUCGGGAUCCCACCCAAUUCAAGGACCCUGACCAUUUC